UGAGGCUGUGAAGAUUGUCUUUGGAC
This 26-nucleotide unclassified non-coding RNA is filed under the name Mus musculus (house mouse). RNAcentral describes it as "oocyte_clustered_small_RNA2567". Lineage: Eukaryota; Metazoa; Chordata; Mammalia; Rodentia; Muridae. The record is from RNAcentral.